CUAGGGAGAACAUUAUUGUAGCCAAAAGUCAAAGGAAACUUUUUUUGCAGCUCGAACCGUAAUUCUUUCCUGUUUCAACGCCACUGAGUGGAAAUGAUGACGAGGAAGAAAGAUUUCAUUGUUAGUGGAACGAACUGAAAAAAAAAAACAAAGGCCGGCCGGCGAGCGUGUUCAUGUGCCUUUAAUUUUAUAUCCGAGGCCACUUUGGGAAUGGAAGGUUGUUGACUGACUUUUCGAGAGAGCCGGAGGCCAAAAGAAUGAGGCCAAACCUCAGUGACGAGAGACCCGGAUGACGGCUUGGCUGGGCCUGGGCUGCCUGUGAAUCUGGGGGGGACGGGGGGUGGGACGGGACAUAGUGGUCCCCUGAUGGUGAAUCCAUGGGCUGAGUUAAGCCGCUGGCCCUCCCCAGCGUGGAUGGGCCCCAUGCCACCCGUUGAGCGCUAGAGUAGAAAAAGAAAGGUGGAGGAAAGAGGAAGUCGCUCUCUGUUUGAGCUGAGACGUCCGUCUUCUGCCCUCGGCCUUCGCAGCUGCCGGUUCUCCCAUCUUUGGUCUUGGACCGAGUCCGCCACCCGCUCUCCUGGGUCUCCAGCUCGAUGGGUGGCACUUCGCAGCCUCCAUCACCCCAUGAGAGAAGGUGACGGGGGUGGAAGACGAUGGGCAGGAGGUUUUCCAAGAUGACGUGGGUGGCGUCUGAGGUCACGUGAAUAAAGUCAGGGCUGCGGCCUGGAACGGACGCUCCCCAAGACUCUCCAGAAGGAAUCAGCCCUGCUGACCCCCUGGUUUCAGACUUCCAGUCUCUAGAAGCUUGAGCAAAUCCAUUGCUGUUGCCUUAAGACCCGCAGUCUAUGGGACGUUGUGGUGGCAGCCGCGGGAGACCGGUCCGAGGAGGAUCAGACGCCUUCUAAUCGUCUUUCCCCGAAAGCAAUUGUGAGUCUGUGCUGUUAGUGAUAACGUCUCUGCACCCACCUGUUUCUCUUUCCCAUCACGGUGCCUUCGGUGCGGGCGGGUGGGGAGACACGCGAGAGUCAGGGGCAGGAACGAGGAAGGCACGGCACGCUCGUUCUGGGUCCUUCUGCUGCACGGUUGGUCUGCCGUCUGUCAAUCAAGUUUCCGAGUGGCAGGCGACGGAAUAGCCUUCUGAAUCGUUGUGCAAAAGGACAAGGAAUUUGUUCAAAGAACCUUGGACCCUCGAGGAAUCGCGCAAACGUUCUGGUGCGGGGCACAAGCAUCAGAAGCGUUCAGACUCUUAUAGGAUCCCCUCGCCCGGGAGAUGGGCAGGAGCUGAGAUUUGCUUCUCACCGACAGCUUAUGGCAAAGGUGGUGGGGUGUCACCUCCGUGACCUCACUACGUAGGACUCAGUUUGGUUAGCAGACGCCCUCCGGUCUUCCUCUCCCUCUGGGUCGCUGGCUUGGACGAGGCAGCUCCCGUGAGGCAAGAGGCCGUGUUGCAGGAACCCACACGACACAGAAUAACGGGUGACCCCCAGGAGCUGAGGGCUAGUUCCAGCCAGAAGCUGCACCCUCGGUCCUGCACCCGCAAGGAAGUGAAUUCCCCCGACAACCUCAAGAAGUUGGAAGCCGAUGGCAGAGUGACCUUGCCUGGAGUACUCAAUGAACGUCUUCAUGAUGGCCCUAAAGUCAUCAGGAUUUGUAAAAGCAUCAUGGAGCCAAACUCCCACUCAUGACUGGGCCGUACAAUCUCUUUUUCACUAUUUCAGUUCAAAUGGGAGGCUCCUCGGGUCUCCUGGGACAGGCGAAUCUGUUUCAACCAGUUGACGACUUUAAAAAUUCAUAUAAGCAAAGGGGACUUCCACUCAGUGGAAAUGAAAACCACGCCCAUAUAUGUCUUUGUUUUCUAACCACAGAUUAGAUCAAAAAAACACAUGCAGUCAAGCCAGGAUGAGUCAUUCGGCAUCUGGAAGACACUUGCACUCG
Molecule: long non-coding RNA, 1935 nt
Filed under: Equus asinus (donkey)
Lineage: Eukaryota; Metazoa; Chordata; Mammalia; Perissodactyla; Equidae
Description: lncRNA (ENSEASG00005025801.1)
Source: RNAcentral